This 506-nucleotide ribosomal RNA is filed under the name uncultured bacterium. RNAcentral describes it as "partial 16S ribosomal RNA". It matches the Rfam family "Bacterial small subunit ribosomal RNA", at positions 30 to 523 of the family's 1533-position model. The record is from RNAcentral.
AUUGAACGCUGGCGGCAGGCCUAACACAUGCAAGUCGAGCGGCAGCGGAAAGUAGCUUGCUACUUUGCCGGCGAGCGGCGGACGGGUGAGUAAUGUCUGGGAAACUGCCUGAUGGAGGGGGAUAACUACUGGAAACGGUAGCUAAUACCGCAUAACGUCGCAAGACCAAAGAGGGGGACCUUCGGGCCUCUUGCCAUCAGAUGUGCCCAGAUGGGAUUAGCUAGUAGGUGGGGUAACGGCUCACCUAGGCGACGAUCCCUAGCUGGUCUGGGAGGAUGACCAGCCACACUGGAACUGAGACACGGUCCAGACUCCGACGGGAGGCAGCAGUGGGGAAUAUUGCACAAUGGGCGCAAGCCUGAUGCAGCCAUGCCGCGUGUAUGAAGAAGGCCUUCGGGUUGUAAAGUACUUUCAGCGGGGAGGAAGGUGUUGAGGUUAAUAACCUCAGCAAUUGACGUUACCCGCAGAAGAAGCACCAGCUAACUCCGUGCCAGCCGCCGCUGUAA